RNAcentral lists this unclassified non-coding RNA (22 nucleotides) under Dictyostelium discoideum. Lineage: Eukaryota; Evosea; Eumycetozoa; Dictyosteliales; Dictyosteliaceae. The record is from RNAcentral.
UGACAUUGGGCUUGGAAUGAUU